AGUGAACGCUGGCGGUAGGCCUAACACAUGCAAGUCGAACGGCAGCACAGUAAGAGCUUGCUCUUACGGGUGGCGAGUGGCGGACGGGUGAGGUAUACAUCGGAAUCUACUUUUUCGUGGGGGAUAACGUAGGUAAACUUACGCUAAUACCGCAUACGACCUACGGGUGAAAGCAGGGGAUCUUCGGACCUUGCGCGAUUGAAUGAGCCGAUGUCGGAUUAGCUAGUUGGCGGGGUAAAGGCCCACCAAGGCGACGAUCCGUAGCUGGUCUGAGAGGAUGGUCAGCCACACUGGAACUGAGACACGGUCCAGACUACUACGGGAGGCAGCAGUGGGGAAUAUUGGACAAUGGGCGCAAGCAUGAUCCAGCCAUACCGCGUGGGUGAAGAAGGCCUUCGGGUUGUAAAGCCCUUUUGUUGGGAAAGAAAAGCAGCAGGUUAAUACCCCGCUGUUCUGACGGUACCCAAAGAAUAAGCACCGGCUAACUUCGUG
This 492-nucleotide ribosomal RNA is filed under the name uncultured bacterium. Its description in RNAcentral is "partial 16S ribosomal RNA". It matches the Rfam family "Bacterial small subunit ribosomal RNA", at positions 29 to 507 of the family's 1533-position model. The record is from RNAcentral.